RNAcentral lists this ribosomal RNA (460 nucleotides) under uncultured bacterium. RNAcentral describes it as "partial 16S ribosomal RNA". It matches the Rfam family "Bacterial small subunit ribosomal RNA", at positions 338 to 795 of the family's 1533-position model. The record is from RNAcentral.
CCUACGGGAGGCAGCAGUGAGGAAUAUUGGUCAAUGGGCGCGCGCCUGAACCAGCAAAGUAGCUUGAAGGAUGACUGCCCUACGGGUUGUAAACUUCUUUUAUAAAGGAAUAAAGUGAGGCACGUGUGCCUUUUUGUAUGUACUUUAUAAAUAAGGAUCGCCUAACUCCUGACCACAAGCCGCGGUAAUACGGGGGUCCCGGAGGUUAUCCGGAUUUAUUGGGUUUAAAGGGAGCGUAGAUGGGUUGUUAAGUCAGUUGUGAAAGUUUGCGGCUCAACCGUAAAAUUGCAAUUGAUACUGGCAGUCUUGAGUACAGUUGAGGUAGGCGGAAUUCGUGGUGUAGCGGUGAAAUGCUUAGAUAUCACGAAGAACUCCGAUUGCGAAGGCAGCUUACUAAACUGCCACUGACAUUGAUGCUCGAAAGUGUGGGUAUCAAACAGGAUUAGAUACCCUUGUAGUC